GGCCAGUUACAGCCCUCCUCUUCUCACAGUGACCCUGGGCCUGCCUGUGGCCCAGCCCACAAGCUCCUGCCAUUCAGCCUCCCGCACCUGGAGUGGUCUCCUUCCAGGUUCAUAGGCCACACUCCAAUGCCGUGCAUCAGCUGAGCUGGAAGUAAGGAAAGGCCCUGGGGACUUAGGACCCCUGAAGACGCCGGGGCCCUCUUCCACACAGGAGGGUGGAACACCAUUGGACUCCACCCAGAGAGUGCGGCCUUCAAACUCACAGGUGACUGAUAGCAAUGGCAAGAAUUACUGGAUGGAAGGGAAAUGGCAGCUUCAUCCUUACCAGUUGCUCAGGCCAGAAAACCUGGAACCAUCUGUAACUUCUCUCCCUCACGCCUCAGACCAGCCA
This is a long non-coding RNA of Panthera uncia (snow leopard), 391 nucleotides long. RefSeq lists it as uncharacterized. The record is from RefSeq and is a predicted model, not a curated record. The transcript is spliced from 3 exons. NCBI's taxonomy places the organism in Eukaryota, Metazoa, Chordata, Mammalia, Carnivora, Felidae.